This 2741-nucleotide long non-coding RNA is filed under the name Ornithorhynchus anatinus (platypus). Its description in RNAcentral is "lncRNA (ENSOANG00000041292.1)". The record is from RNAcentral. Lineage: Eukaryota; Metazoa; Chordata; Mammalia; Monotremata; Ornithorhynchidae.
AGCAGUUUUUGUUGCUCUCAUUUUCAGCCUCCAUUGCUUCAAGGCCAGUGAAAUGUUUUUGUCUUUUGGUUUCUUUUUGUUAAGCGCUUACUACAUCCCAGGCCCUGUUCUAAGUGCUGUGAUAGAAGCUAAUCAGGUUGGACACAGUCCAUGUCCCACAUGGGGCUCACAGUCUUAAUCCCCAUUUUACAGAUGAGGUAACUGAGGCACAAAGAAGUGGCAGAGCUGGGAUUAGAACCCAGGUCCUUCUUUCUCCCAGGCCUAAACUCUAUUCACUAGGCCACGGUGUUUAAGAGUGCUUCUUUACAGAAUACACACGUGAAAUUACCAGAAAAAUGACUUAAAUUUUUAAGAACUGUAUAAUGACUGCUGGAAAAGAUCUAUCGUGUGUUCACAGCCACUAGCUCACCUCCUUAGAGGCAUUACUUUUGUUUGUUCAGAUGACGUGAGCCCCUGACUUGCAGAAAUGUUUCUUUCCAUGUAAGACCACUCUGAGGUUCAAAGCUUUCCCCGUGCCUUUGUUCCUGCCUGCAAAUUUCUUUGAAUUUUCCUCCCAAUCUCUGUAUGACUUCAAUAGGCUUUCAUGAGUAUUUCUGUCACAAGUAAUCUACAUUUUAUACCCCACUGUGUAAAAAAGGUAAGAGUUCUGAGCUAUGAAAAGAUUUGAAAGCCAGAUUUUCCUUUUCCAAGUCAAUCUGACUUCAUCAUUCAAAAAUCAUAAAUUCAACCCCAGGUAGUCCCCUUUGUGUGAUUCUCUGUGUUUCAUCACUGUCUAACUUGAAAACAGGAACACCUUAAAAUGGGCUUGAAGGGCAAGUUUCAGACACCAGUAUUGCAGGGAUGCUUUGAGAGGCACAAUUUAUUCCGUUGGUUGCUUCGGUCACCCUAUUGUGGUAACCACGUUUGAAAUCAGUAGGGUUUCAAAUAUCCUAAAUGAUUCCAAGUUCUUCAAACCGUUUCUGUUCUUGCAGGCAGCUGGGUACUUGAUCAUCUGUUUUAAAGAGAAGUCUUCUGACAGGCAAGAUCACAUUUUUGUAUGGUUUGCAAGCUGCAGCAAGACACGGAAUCCACAUCAUUUGGGUCUUUAUUCAGUCUAUAGCACUACUUCAUCGGCAUCACCUUUAAACAGUAUUCAUCAUCAGAUGGCAUGACAAGAUCACCAGAAAUGAAAUCCUGGAACACAGUCAACUCACCAGUACUGGGACAUGUCCAUCACAAAGCCCCAGGAAGUUGAUAUAAGGAGAAUGAAUGACGGAAGGAUAUCUAAGCAGCUGAUGAAUGGAGAACUGAAUUGAGAACCCUACGCAAGUAGAAGGCCAGGGAAAAGUAUUUUUAAAUCAUCAUGAAGUACAGUCUCGGACACUGUAGUGAAGCAAUGCGCUGUUGAGGGAUAUAAUAAUAAUUGUGGUAUUUGUUAAGCGCUUAUAUAUCAAGUACUGAAAUAAGCACUGGGGUAGCUACAAGAUAAUCAGGUCCCACAUGGGACUCACACUCUAAGUAGGAGGGAGAACAGGCACUGAGUCCAUUUUGCACAUCAGGGAACUGAGGCACGGAGAAGUUAAGCGACUUGUCCAAGAUAACUCAGCAAAGUGGCAGAGCAGGGAUUAGAACACAGGUCCUCUGACUCACGGGUCCAUGUUCUUUCCACUACGCCACGCUGCUUAAAGAGAUUACCUUGGUCUGGCCUGUAGCAAUCAGAACGGUUACUCUCUUUGAAUAGGGGCCUUGGGAAAACACAAGGAACAAGUGGCCACAAAUGACAAAUACAUCUACAGUGGUAAAGGAUGAUCUUUACAGGUGCAUAAAGUGGAAUGCUUCCUUGACCACUGGAUUCAUUCAUUAAUUCAAUCUUAUUUAUUGAGCGCUUACUGUGUGCAGAGCACUGUACUAAGCACUUGGAAAGUACAAUUCGGCAACAGAUAGAGACAAUCCCUCUUUUUAACCCCAUCUGCUUUCACCAUCAGGAACAUCUUUGAAUACGAAGGACAGUUAUGUAUAUACAUCAGUAAAUCCAAAUGCAAUCAGACUCACUUAGAUCCUAGGAAAUAUAUUUGUGAAUUGCAUUUUAUUGUAAAAAUAAAUCUUGUGCUUCCAUUGCCCCCUUUCAAUCAAACCUCGGUCACUUGUCUGUGUGACCUUGGGCAGGACACUUCACUUCUCUGUGCCUCAGUCAUCUCAUCUGUAAAAUGGGGAUUAGGACUGUGAGCCGCAUGUGGGAUACGGACUGUGUCCAACCUAUCUUGUCUCUACCUCAGUGCUUAGUACAGUGCCUGGCACAUAGUAAAUGCUUCAUAAAUAUUUUUUUUAAAAAUUUAGGUUUGAAGGGUUUCUGUUCUGAAUAGCAAUUUGCAGAGGGAGGACGAUGACUAUGAUGCUAAUUCCUCUGGCAUCAAUUUGGGUAGAUAGUAAAACCUUUGAGUAAUGGUUUUCUUAAAUAUACUACCAUACUUAUUAAGUGCUAACUAUCUUCCAGGCACUGUACUAAGCAUUGGGGUAGAUCCAAGAUAAUCAAGCUGGACACAGCCCCUAUCCCACUUGGGGCUCACAGUCUAAAUCAGAGAGAGGAGGAUUUAAUCUUCAUUUUAGAGAGAGAUAACUGAGGCACAGAGAAGUUAAGGGACUUGCCCAAAUACCAAAGGUCACAGCUGAAAAAGUGGCUGAGCUGGGAUUAGAACUCUGUUCUCUGACUCGCAUUCCCAUGCUCUGUCCACUAGGUCACACUGCUUCCCUUAAUCUUUAAA